AGGGUUUGGNUCAUGGGCUCAGGACGAACGCUGGCGGCGUGCCUAAUACAUGCAAGUCGAGCGAGGGUCUUCGGACCCUAGCGGCGGACGGGUGAGUAACACGNAGGCAACCUGCCCGUAAGACCGGGAUAACAUAGGGAAAUUAUGCUAUAAUACCGGAUAGGGCGUUCUCCCGCAUGGGAGGAUGCGGAAAGGUGGCGCAAGCUACCACUUACGGAUGGGCCUGCGGCACAUUAGCUAGUUGGUGGGGUAACGGCCUACCAAGGCGACGAUGCGUAGCCGACCUGAGAGGGUGACCGGCCACACUGGGACUGAGACACGGNCCAGACUCCUACGGGAGGCAGCAGUAGGGAAUUUUCCACAAUGGGCGAAAGCCUGAUGGAGCAACGCCGCGUGAACGAUGAAGGCCUUCGGGUUGUAAAGUUCUGUUGUUAGGGACGAACAAGUGCCGUUCGAAUAGGGCGGCACCCUGACGGUANCUAACGAGGAAGCCACGGCUAACUACGUGCCAGCAGCCGCGGUAAUACGUAGGUGGCAAGCGUGUUCNGAAU
Molecule: ribosomal RNA, 551 nt
Filed under: uncultured Bacillota bacterium
Lineage: Bacteria; Bacillati; Bacillota
Description: bacterial SSU rRNA
Rfam family: Bacterial small subunit ribosomal RNA
Source: RNAcentral